This 357-nucleotide ribosomal RNA is filed under the name uncultured Anaerolineaceae bacterium. Its description in RNAcentral is "bacterial SSU rRNA". It matches the Rfam family "Bacterial small subunit ribosomal RNA", at positions 1026 to 1382 of the family's 1533-position model. The record is from RNAcentral. Lineage: Bacteria; Bacillati; Chloroflexota; Anaerolineae; Anaerolineales; Anaerolineaceae.
ACAGGGUGACAGGUGGUGCAUGGUUGUCGUCAGCUCGUGUCGUGAGAUGUUGGGUUAAGUCCCGCAACGAGCGCAACCCUUGCCAUUAGUUGUCAGCGAGUCAUGUCGGAUACUCUAAUGGGACUGCCGGUGACGAGCCGGAGGAAGGUGGGGAUGACGUCAAGUCAGCAUGGCCUUUAUGUCCAGGGCCACACACGUGCUACAAUGGACGGUACAGAGGGAUGCAAUGCCGCAAGGUGGAGCCAAUCCUCAAAACCGUUCUCAGUUCGGAUUGCAGGCUGCAAUUCGCCUGCAUGAAGCUGGAAUUGCUAGUAAUCGCAGAUCAGCUACGCUGCGGUGAAUACGUUCUCGGGCCUU